AUGUGAGAUUCUGCCCUAGAUUGGAAAUGGGCACCAGGCUCUACUUCUGUGUGGCUCUUUGUUUCCUGUGCACAGGACAUGUGGAUUCUAGUGCUGGAAUCACUCAGAGCCCAAACAAGAUCACAGGGACAGGGAAGAGGGUGACUCUAACAUGUCACCAGACUCAGAACCAUGACUAUAUGUACUGGUAUCGACAAGACCUGGGACAUGGGCUGAGGCUGCUCCAUUACUCACGUGCUGCUGGUUUCACUGAAAAGGGAGAUGUUCCCGAUGGGUACAAUGUCUCUAGAACAAAUACAGAGAACUUUUCCCUCAUGCUGGAGUCCGCUACCCCCUCCCAGACAUCUGUGUACUUCUGUGCCAGCAGUUACUCCACAGCAAUGCACAGCUGA
Non-coding RNA from Diceros bicornis minor, 392 nucleotides. The record is from the annotation of a RefSeq genome assembly. Lineage: Eukaryota; Metazoa; Chordata; Mammalia; Perissodactyla; Rhinocerotidae.